This 252-nucleotide ribosomal RNA is filed under the name uncultured bacterium. RNAcentral's name for it is "partial 16S ribosomal RNA". It matches the Rfam family "Bacterial small subunit ribosomal RNA", at positions 524 to 776 of the family's 1533-position model. The record is from RNAcentral.
UACGGAGGGAGCUAGCGUUGUUCGGAAUUACUGGGCGUAAAGCGCACGUAGGCGGCUUUUUAAGUCAGGGGUGAAAUCCCGGGGCUCAACCCCGGAACUGCCCUUGAAACUGGAGAGCUAGAAUCUUGGAGAGGCGAGUGAAUUCCGAGUGUAGAGGUGAAAUUCGUAGAUAUUCGGAAGAACACCAGUGGCGAAGGCGACUCGCUGGACAAGUAUUGACGCUGAGGUGCGAAAGCGUGGGGAGCAAACAGG